This 497-nucleotide ribosomal RNA is filed under the name uncultured bacterium. RNAcentral describes it as "partial 16S ribosomal RNA". It matches the Rfam family "Bacterial small subunit ribosomal RNA", at positions 28 to 507 of the family's 1533-position model. The record is from RNAcentral.
GAUGAACGCUGGCGGCGUGCCUAAUACAUGCAAGUCGAGCGAACAGACGAGGAGCUUGCUCCUCUGACGUUAGCGGCGGACGGGUGAGUAACACGUGGAUAACCUACCUAUAAGACUGGGAUAACUUCGGGAAACCGGAGCUAAUACCGGAUAAUAUAUUGAACCGCAUGGUUCAAUAGUGAAAGACGGUUUUGCUGUCACUUAUAGAUGGAUCCGCGCCGCAUUAGCUAGUUGGUAAGGUAACGGCUUACCAAGGCAACGAUGCGUAGCCGACCUGAGAGGGUGAUCGGCCACACUGGAACUGAGACACGGUCCAGACUCCUACGGGAGGCAGCAGUAGGGAAUCUUCCGCAGUGGGCGAAAGCCUGACGGAGCAACGCCGCGUGAGUGAUGAAGGUCUUCGGAUCGUAAAACUCUGUUAUUAGGGAAGAACAAAUGUGUAAGUAACUAUGCACGUCUUGACGAUACCUAAUCAGAAAGCCACGGCUAACUACGUG